Molecule: RNA transcript, 699 nt
Organism: Sardina pilchardus (European sardine)
Lineage: Eukaryota; Metazoa; Chordata; Actinopteri; Clupeiformes; Clupeidae
Gene name: TOG array regulator of axonemal microtubules protein 1-like
Exons: 3
Source: RefSeq, a predicted model, not a curated record
ACCCAGUCCUUCCAAACACCGCUGGCACGUCCGGAAAGGCGCUGUAGGUCCAGGAGCUAGCGUGUAGCAAGCUAGCGAGUAGUGUCAACAACCGCGGUAUAAACCAGCACCGGUUUCCAACACACUUCUGUCUGCCGGACACUAGCCCACGACUAGACACAAGUAACCAGCAAACACGGGUCGCUGAAAGUCACUGGCACGUAACAGAGUAGCUAGCCGAAAGAAAACAGGACUUCGCUAAUCGCUAGUCGGGACUCUGCACUGACUGGACUUCACUGAACUGAACGAGCGACUGCGAGCCGUCACGUAACUGAGGAAUCAGGCCCGUAACAUUCUCUCUGUAGUGGCCUCCCAUCCCGACCUCAUCAAGAUGGUGGAGAGGUUUGCCCCUCUGAGCGAUCAAAUCCGCAUCAAGGACUUCAUUAACACAUGCCAGAAAAGACCUUUGCGUUGAAGAAGACAUCAGAGCCAGCAGAAUGAGACCACACCCACGGGGUCACAGACACAGACACACAGACACAGACACACACACACACACACACACACACAGACACACGUGCUGUAGAGAUACAAAGCACAUCCAUUUAAAAAAAAAAAUAAUAAUAAUAAUCUGCACGGAUUCACUUUUACAUAUUAACUGAACAUUGCCACAUCAAAUCACUAUUAGCUUAAAAUUUAAAUAACAAUAAUUGAACACUC